AGAAAGAUUAAUAUCCGAUAGCAUAUAUUUCCCGCAUGGGUUUUAUAUUAAAGAAAUUCGGUAUGAGAUGGGGAUGCGUUCCAUUAGUUUGUUGGGGGGGUAACGGCCCACCAAGACUACGAUGGAUAGGGGUUCUGAGAGGAAGGUCCCCCACAUUGGAACUGAGACACGGUCCAAACUCCUACGGGAGGCAGCAGUGAGGAAUAUUGGUCAAUGGACGCGAGUCUGAACCAGCCAAGUAGCGUGAAGGAUGACUGCCCUAUGGGUUGUAAACUUCUUUUAUAUGGGAAUAAAGUGGUCCACGUGUGGACUUUUGUAUGUACCAUAUGAAUAAGGAUCGGCUAACUCCGUGCCAGCAGCCGCGGUAAUACGGAGGAUCCGAGCGUUAUCCGGAUUUAUUGGGUUUAAAGGGAGCGUAGGCGGAUUGUUAAGUCAGUUGUGAAAGUUUGCGGCUCAACCGUAAAAUUGCAGUUGAUACUGGCAGUCUUGAGUGCAGUAGAGGUGGGCGGAAUUCGUGGUGUAGCGGUGAAAUGCUUAGAUAUCACGAAGAACUCCGAUUGCGAAGGCAGCUCACUGGAGUGUAACUGACGCUGAUGCUCGAAAGUGUGGGUAUCAAACAGGAUU
RNAcentral lists this ribosomal RNA (624 nucleotides) under uncultured bacterium. RNAcentral describes it as "bacterial SSU rRNA". It matches the Rfam family "Bacterial small subunit ribosomal RNA", at positions 156 to 779 of the family's 1533-position model. The record is from RNAcentral.